Molecule: non-coding RNA, 3145 nt
Organism: Dermacentor andersoni
Lineage: Eukaryota; Metazoa; Arthropoda; Arachnida; Ixodida; Ixodidae
Source: RefSeq, a predicted model, not a curated record
GUAAAAGUGUACUUACUCACUGUGAAGUAAAAAUGCACUGCAGUGAUGUUGCAGUGAUACUCUUGCCAGAAUAACCUACUUUUCAUGAAACCAGAGUAGUCAGAAGACUGGCAUUUAUGCCAGCUGCAUUGCCAAGCUCCUGCACAAGAGCAGAGCUUAGCAUCUGAGCAUUCGCAUCAUUCUGAGUAUUCUUGCAUAUCAUUUUUGCUCGUUAAACCUUGCUACAAGACAUUAAUUUUCAGCAGCCAAGCCUGACAGCUUUGGUCAAUCUUUCGUGCUCUGAGCUGGUUUGAUGCAAUACUUUUAACGGAAUUUCUUUAUUGCUGUUUAUUAUGUGGUCAGUGACAGGUUUUUAUGCAAGAAUGUUAAAUGGUUCCUUCAGUGAAAAAGCCGGCAGCACCUGUAGCAGCAAAACGGUGCCUAAUUUCCCGUUGACUGUGACGCCAUGUGAGCACACGAGGCGCGCUCAUGACACUAGCUUGCACUUGCUGGCUCGUGUCUCAGCAGAGGAAAGCGAGUGAAGGGGAACAUCUGCUGCUGCGCUACUUCGCGAGGGGAGAGUGCAUUGCUACGACAAAACAUCACCUUCCCUCUCGCAAGCCUGUGUUACCACCUGUUCCUUGUCUACUCAAGCUCUUGUGUGUGUUCUAACUGCGCCUCGGUGAGGCUAAAUCAAUAUGUGCCAAGCGUCUUAACGUGCCCGCUUGCCCGCGAGGAGUUCAUAACUCGGACUGCUCAGUGGCGUUCAGUUGGACAUUAAAGUAUUCACAACUCAUAAGAAGUGCUUAGGUAUCCUCGGAUUUUCUUCGUACUUAAUGCACAAACUUCGAAGUCAUUUUUCCUGGCGAAAUUAGUUAAAUAUCAUCGUCCUUUGUCUGCUGUCCGGCCUUUGUGUGAGCCUUAUACAUCUUCGCAGCCACUCCUGUCAUGCACAGUAAUUUGUGUACUUGUGCUUGUAUCUUCCAUGGCAUAUGAUUAAUUAAUGCAUUUUAUUUGCAUGAUCCAACUAAACAUGAUCUCAAAAAGCUUCACUUGACUGCUUGCUUGUCCCUGUGGCUACAUUGUGUGGAUGUACUAUCAGCGUCAAAUGAAACGCAAACAGCAGAGUGCAUGCCUGUAGCAUCACUGAAUGUAUAGUGCACACACUUGGCCAAUCAUCACCCUCACAGGCGUGCACAUCUGGUUUCACAACACUGUGCAAUGAUGCCCUAUACUGAGAUAUUUUUCUUUCUGUUUUGCUUCUUGCUUUCUUAGAUUUUUGGUUUUUUUUGCUUUGAAAUAAAAGGAAAGCAUAACAGAAAGAAAAUUUGACUGCAUUCAAUGUGUUAGAAAACGUUCACUUCAAUAUUUUUUUCUCACACUUCAAUCAAAAGCAGUGUGGCAACACCGAGUCUUGAUGAAAUGAAUUGGCACCCUCGGAAACUGUUCCCACUGGUAAUCGAAGCUGAUCUUGAAGGUCAUGCUUUUGUCUACUGCAAAAACUGGAACUGAUUUCAGGAGCUGGGAAAUACGUUAUGGCCCUCAUUCAUUGUUUUGCUUUUGCAUCUUGGCAGUUUGCUGCUGCUAUUUAUAGCACAAGUGAAGGAAUUGUAGCACAAGUAACACUGACACAUGUGCUGCCCUUUUUGGUGCCAGAGUGUGUGAAGGAAGGCUGCUAUCUGGUCUUGAAAUCCAUCGAAGCAGCCUUAUUCCCAGACAUCACACAGCCUUGCCAAUAUGGCGGUUGGCACGAAGGGUCUAGAGGCAGCGACUUGAAAUAGAAUUUUCGACUUACCAUACCAGAAAUGGUUUUAUUUCCAACAAACUUUGUUGGGUGUCCUCCAGGCGAAAAGCUGCAACAUGCAGCUUUAAUGUGCCUGAAGGCCCUCGCAUGGCAGCAGUAAGUCUCCUAUCGGCAAACGUAUAACAUACGAAACACUAAUAUAUUAGGAUAUACAUUUACAAUGUAGCAAAAGAAAUGUGUGAAAUCUAAAGAAACAUUCAUCUUUUCAGAUAAUUAUAUAGUAUUUAUAAAAUAAAUUCUUCUUAAUGCACAACAAAGCUAAGAUGCAUAUUAUAUGUAUUAUACAUCCCAAAGGAUCACAUUUCAAAAAUAAGCACUACAGACAACAUGUCUAGCAUGUACACUCGCCCACAAAAUGUUACAGGGUGCGCAAGCGUGUGGCAAAACGACCCUUCUUCCCUUCUAGCUGUGCACCCAUGGUAUCGAGUUUGCACGCAUGCGCGUCCCUCUGAGACUGCAAGCGUGCAUGUUUCUGCACUUCCUCCUUGUGCGCCGGCGAUAUCCGAAUGUAGCCGUGAGGUGCCCCUCUUGCGAUGGGCGCGAAACUAUGUGAAGCCUGAGCUUGCGCGUGCCACUGCGGCUGCUUUUUGUCGAGUCACGAGCGCCGACGCAUACGGCCCAGUGGCGAACCCAGCAAGUAAUUUUUUUUUAAUGAGCUGCACCAUUUUGUGUCCAAUCUUUGUUGUUUCUUUUUAUGAAUGGGGCAUUCUCCCACAAAAGAGCAUGUCAGAAAAUGCCCGCUAUAGAAGGAGACAGUGUCAACUCCCAUUGAAGACCAGCAGUUAGGACACAUGGACCUGUGACAGAAAAGCUGCCGGAUGGAUCUGGGACAGCGACGCUGGCCUGUACUUUCCUAUCGUCUCCAUUAUCCAUGGCAACCUGCUUUCAAGUCAUAGAAGGAAAAGGUGGAGAAAGACACACGCAGUCACUUCAUUGCAAGGACAGGUACAGAGACUUGCGGCCACCUGAAAAAGAAGCAUUUCUACUUCCGUCUGUCACCGGUCUGGAAGUUAUGCUUCACAAGCUACAAGUAAACAAAAGCUGAAGCGGCCUUCAAGUGUCAAGUGUGGAAAAAGAUGUUUUGCGGCAAUGGCUGUGACUGAAGACAACACAGGUGUGUAUGUGGUUUUCCAAUUCAAGCACAGAGGCCACGACUUUGAACUGGGUCGUGUUUUUCUGUCCAAGUCGGAAAGAGCCGCUAUUGCUGACAAGCUGCGAGAAGGCGUGUCCAUGGAUGCAGUACUGGAUAAUGUGCGGUCCAACGUGGAUGAGACAUUCCACCGCAUUAACCUGUUAAGCAAGUGGGAUCUUCGCAAAAUAAUGAGGGAUGCCAGAGUCUCGAAGACCGAGCGGCUGCACGAU